CAGAAGUAGCAGCAGCAAGAGUAGCGCCAGCAACGUCCAAACACAAACCUCCCGUGUUGGUAAGUGCAUUGUCUCAACUUUCGCCAUGACAAACUCCUGUGGUGUUUUCUUGUUCAAAAUCGGUGCAUUUUCAGUAGUUUCAUUCUUGCUUCCGUAUUCACAUUUGCUGUUUAUGUAAUCGCAUUCUGUUGUGGCCAUCUUGUUGGCAUUCAUUACUUUGAGUUCAUGUGAUAAAGCCUCUAUCAUAUCUGCUGGCCAAAUUGCUUCGACAUUGGAUUCCCU
Molecule: long non-coding RNA, 282 nt
Filed under: Citrus sinensis (sweet orange)
Lineage: Eukaryota; Viridiplantae; Streptophyta; Magnoliopsida; Sapindales; Rutaceae
Description: long non-coding RNA (CSIN_LNC002409)
Source: RNAcentral